This 84-nucleotide transfer RNA is filed under the name compost metagenome. RNAcentral's name for it is "tRNA-Tyr". It matches the Rfam family "tRNA". From Rfam's summary of the family: Transfer RNA (tRNA) molecules are approximately 80 nucleotides in length. Their secondary structure includes four short double-helical elements and three loops (D, anti-codon, and T loops). The record is from RNAcentral.
GGAGAGGUUCCCGAGCGGUCAAAGGGAUCAGACUGUAAAUCUGACGCCUCACAGCUUCGAAGGUUCGAAUCCUUCUCUCUCUCC